This is a long non-coding RNA of Hemicordylus capensis (graceful crag lizard), 1524 nucleotides long. RefSeq lists it as uncharacterized. The record is from RefSeq and is a predicted model, not a curated record. Lineage: Eukaryota; Metazoa; Chordata; Lepidosauria; Squamata; Cordylidae. The transcript is spliced from 3 exons.
CUUUCCCAGUGACGUAAUACGGGUCCUUUCGCAAGGCAAACUUGUGGUUUUUGCAGCAGCAGUAGCGAGUAGCCCCUUCGAAAGAGGGAGGUAGGAAGCGGCAGAUGGGCUUGUCUGGCAGCGCCGCUCUCCCCUGCUCUUUGAUUUGUCUCCAUAAAGUGCUUCGAGAACUUUUGUUGAAAAGCAGUGCAGAAAUGUUCGUAGUAGGGAGUAAUUGUGGAAAACAGGAAUGACAGAGACUCUCUCCAAGCGGCAUCAUGCAUGUGCUGGACACUGGGAACGCCACUCUAACACUCUGCACGCUUAUGCUGGAUCUUCCAUUUAACAUAUUAGAUCAUUAGAAGAACCCCUGUUUGGAGGACUCUGAAGAUGUACCUGUUUUCCCAGGCCUUCAACCGAGAUUUGAUUUUUAAAUUUUAAUGUUUAUUUAUGACUUUUAUGAAUUUUAAAUGUGUUAUGUUAAUUCUGUACACCGCCUAGAGAUUUUUAUACUAGGCGGUAUAUAAAUUUAAUAAAUACAUAAAUAACUGCACUAAAAAGACUUUGGAAGUUAGUACCUGCAUUUGCCUCUUGGAGGGCAACUGUAUAAUUACUGUGCCAUUCACCUUCCUUAGUAACACGCCACAGGUUCCUGUAACAGUAUGCAAAGAGAGUUUUGUCUGCAUUCCAAUAUAAUUUGACUCGGAACUUUCCAGGGGCAUCUUGUGGCCACUGAGGGAAACAGGAUGCUGGACUUUGGGUCUCAUCCAAGCAAGGCUUUUCUUAUGUUCUCAUGACUCUACAGCCCAACUCAUCCUGGGAGCAGCAUGGAAGCCAUUUGCCCAUGGCUUCUUCCCUAAGUGCUCCAGUAGGCAUCUGAAUCCAGGAAGCAUGUGGACAGAGGAAGGUGCCAAGUUCCUUCCCAGCCUAUCACUGCCCCACCUGUACGAUAGGUUUGUUCUGCUCCUGUGUCAGUGACGUUCCUGCCACCUUCAAGGAUCGCUUCCCUCCUCCUUGAGCAGAGCCAAAGAGCCCAGCAAUACCUCAUGAACAGCACCAGUAGAAUAAUCUCUUCUGUGACAUAUGACUGGACAGUCCCUAUUCAGGCUCUAUUAACUUAAACCCUAAAUGUCACAGUUUUACUGUCUCCCACACCAAUGACCAGUAGAAAGGGUUUUGCUCAAAGAUGGUAAGAGAAUAAGCAGCCAUAUGCUUGUGAUUCUCCUAUACUACAGCUGUAAAGAUGCAAAAGGGAACAUAGGGAACUGCCUUAUACCGAGUCAGACCACUGGUCCAUCUAGCUCAGUACUGCCUACACUGACUGGUAGUGGCUUGUCCAAGGUUUCAGGCAAGAGUCUUUCCCAGCCCUACUUGGAGAUGCCAGGGAUUGAACUUGGGACCUUCUUCAUGCAAAGCAGAUGCUCUACCACUAAGCUAUGGCUUCAUCCCCUAAAAAAAACAACACCAAGACCUAGCUGUCCCAAUUCUAACCAUCCAACCCAAGUUUGCGUCACCCCGCCAUGCCGAUUCCAGUCUCUACCUGCU